ACCAAAAAAUACUACAAUGCUUCCUUCUAGUAACAAUACUCCUUCAUUAACUGAUAACAACAGUGUGCAACCUUGCACUCUUAAAAGAGUGCUCAAAAUUCAUAAAUUCCAUCCAAUACCAGGAAUAAUAGACUUCACUCCAACCAAUCUAGAUUCACAGAAUUUUUGUAUCACGGACUUCCUCUGUCGAAACACACACACAACUCUCAAUAAACAACAAUCAUAAUCUUCCAUCCAUAAUCAAUUUUCCAAUAACUUCUUAUAUAAUUCAAUCACUCAAUAUUCUAAUUACAUAAUCAAUAACUCAUAAAUCAAUCUCAAAUUUAUUCCAUAGACUCACUUCUCAGUAUUCAAAAACUAUCCAUUACUCUUCAAUAACAAAGAAAACAAAGAAACAAAGAGG
This 403-nucleotide long non-coding RNA is filed under the name Physcomitrium patens. Its description in RNAcentral is "long non-coding RNA (PPAT_LNC009446)". Lineage: Eukaryota; Viridiplantae; Streptophyta; Bryopsida; Funariales; Funariaceae. The record is from RNAcentral.